RNAcentral lists this ribosomal RNA (100 nucleotides) under Caerostris darwini. Lineage: Eukaryota; Metazoa; Arthropoda; Arachnida; Araneae; Araneidae. The record is from RNAcentral.
UGCUUGAAUAUACCGGUUCUCGUUAGAUCACCGAAGUUAAGCAUCAUUGGGCGCGGUCAGUACUUGGGUGGGUGACCACCUGGGAACACCGCGUGCCGUU